Long non-coding RNA from Hermetia illucens (black soldier fly), 257 nucleotides. RefSeq lists it as uncharacterized. The record is from RefSeq and is a predicted model, not a curated record. The transcript has 2 exons. NCBI's taxonomy places the organism in Eukaryota, Metazoa, Arthropoda, Insecta, Diptera, Stratiomyidae.
CUCAUACAUUGUCAAAUAAACAUUGACAGUCAGCUGUGAGUGAUAAUAUUAAAAUUCCUUUUCAUCGAACUCCCAUUGUGAACGGAAGUAAUCGCUACAUAUCAUCAACUAAUUAGUUUUUUGUCGAUUUUUUGCUUGAACAUAAAAAUUGUGCGAUUGGUAAUGGCAAAUAUUUUUGUGCAAUCCAUGUUUUUGUAAAUUGCCUCUAGAUAACAAAUAAUUAAUGUUGAUUGGUGAGACUCUAAAUUAUGAAAACU